AGUUACAUCGGACUGUGACACUUACUGUUUACAGGAGACUAUAAAACUUUGCCCAGUCGUCACUUGGGGCCCGCCUGCACCCAGGCCGUCAUUAAAACAGCAUGUUGCUCCACACCGCCUCGUGUUGUCUGUUGGUGUGCUCUCAGGGUGGAAACGAUACAAGAACGUUACACUUACAGGCUUUAGUUUAUAUUAUUCUCAUAGAAGACUUCCUCAUAAUCCAAUUUAAAAAAUGAGAGUUUCCCUGCACAAGCUCUUGCUUUGCCUGAUGCCAUCCAUGUAAGACGUGACUUGCUCCUCCUUGCCUUCUACCAUGAUUGUGAGACUUCCCCAGCCACGUGGAACUAUUAUGCUCCAAGACACUGAAUCUGAAAGGAUGCAUCCAGUCUUGCCAAGUGGUUUCACUACCAAGGCCAGUCUCCAUCUAUGAUAGACCCAAGGAAGAUCAUUUACAACUAGAAUCUAGUCAUUUAGGAGAUUGUGUGCUCCCUGGAUGGGCCAUCUGCACUGGUGUGAGGUUUAUCUCAUUGAAGGGAAAACCAAAGGAAUCUUCUUGAAUAUCAGCACCAGGAAGAGCAGUACAAACUGGAGAAGCUGGGGUAUGUAGGCAAUGGCUUCA
This 619-nucleotide long non-coding RNA is filed under the name Homo sapiens (human). Its description in RNAcentral is "non-protein coding lnc-ADAMTS12-3:1". The record is from RNAcentral. Lineage: Eukaryota; Metazoa; Chordata; Mammalia; Primates; Hominidae.